GAAUGUGAGGGCGGUCUGGCUGCGACAUCUGUCACCCCAUUGAUCGCCAGGGUUGAUUUGGCUGAUCUGGCUAGCUAAGCUGGUGUUCCCUUUCUCCCUCACCACUCCAUGUGCGUCCCUCCCAAAGCUGUGCGCUCAGUCGAAGAGGACGGCCUUCCCCAAAUAGAGAGGGACCCAUCUUCAGUCAAGGGUAUACAAGUAGCUGCGCUCCCCUGCUAGAACCUCCAAACAAGCUCUUAAACAAUUCCUUAUAAUGCAUCCCAUGUUUAAAAAUUCAGAGUGAGAGGACCAGGCAGUGGUGUGCCUGAUA
This is an unclassified non-coding RNA of Erinaceus europaeus (western European hedgehog), 310 nucleotides long. Its record names the gene 7SK. It matches the Rfam family "7SK RNA". Rfam says of the family: 7SK was discovered as an abundant small nuclear RNA in the mid-70s but a possible function has only recently been suggested. Two independent studies have found that 7SK RNA binds the CDK9/cyclin T complex (known as elongation factor P-TEFb). Lineage: Eukaryota; Metazoa; Chordata; Mammalia; Eulipotyphla; Erinaceidae. The record is from Ensembl.